GGUUAGUGUAGGUGUGGUAGUGUUAGGGUUUAAGAACUCCUAUAUGGUCACUACUAGGACAUACCUGCAAUUUGCAGCUUCCACCAUUACUUCAACAUAGGAAAUGGCAACAUUAAAAGAAUUGGGGGCUGCAAAACACACACCUCUAUGCUAUGUACAGCAAUGUAGCAACGUGUUAAGUCUAAAUAGAUCAAUAUGAACUUACUGCUAUUACCAACAUCUCUAACAGGUUACUCCAACCUCCAUGAUCACUUCUGCUUUUAGAAGUGGUCAUGAUGGUAGGAAUUUCUGCUUGAAACGCUGCACUUGCAGAGAU
Non-coding RNA from Pelobates cultripes (western spadefoot toad), 316 nucleotides. The record is from the annotation of a GenBank genome assembly. NCBI's taxonomy places the organism in Eukaryota, Metazoa, Chordata, Amphibia, Anura, Pelobatidae.